RNAcentral lists this ribosomal RNA (465 nucleotides) under uncultured bacterium. RNAcentral describes it as "partial 16S ribosomal RNA". It matches the Rfam family "Bacterial small subunit ribosomal RNA", at positions 28 to 507 of the family's 1533-position model. The record is from RNAcentral.
GACGAACGCUGGCGGCGUGCUUAACACAUGCAAGUCGAACGGAAAGGCCCUGCUUGCAGGGUACUCGAGUGGCGAACGGGUGAGUAACACGUGGGUGAUCUGCCCUGCACUUCGGGAUAAGCCUGGGAAGCUGGGUCUAAUACCGGAUAGGAGCCAUUUUUAGUGUGAUGGUUGGAAAGUUUUUUCGGUGUAGGAUGAGCUCGCGGCCUAUCAGCUUGUUGGUGGGGUAAUGGCCUACCAAGGCGGCGACGGGUAGCCGGCCUGAGAGGGUGGACGGCCACAUUGGGACUGAGAUACGGCCCAGACUCCUACGGGAGGCAGCAGUGGGGAAUAUUGCACAAUGGGCGCAAGCCUGAUGCAGCGACGCCGCGUGGGGGAGGACGGCCUUCGGGUUGGAAACUCCUUUCGCUAGGGACGAAGCUUUUUGUGACGGUACCUAGAGAAGAAGCACCGGCUAACUACGUG